AAGUUUUGUUUAAACCGAAAAAAUAUGGACUGACUUUGGAUUUUUCUUUGGAAUAUGUAUAUUUUUUGGAAGGCCCYCCUUUUUAGGGGAUCUUAUUGGCACGUGUAAGAGUGUUUAGUUUUUAUUUUUUGUGUGAUGCUUGUUUUCUUUUUGUGUUAAAAAACAGAWAAAUAUUUGGCUUAUUGGUCUAUUUAUAUGUAUUACUAUUUUUAAUUUUUUUUGGAUGAUYUUUUAAUUUUUUUCUGAAAUUGGAAAAAAAAGUAAUUUUUUUU
Molecule: ribosomal RNA, 272 nt
Filed under: Cercopithifilaria bainae
Lineage: Eukaryota; Metazoa; Nematoda; Chromadorea; Rhabditida; Onchocercidae
Description: partial small subunit ribosomal RNA
Source: RNAcentral